RNAcentral lists this ribosomal RNA (458 nucleotides) under uncultured bacterium. Its description in RNAcentral is "bacterial SSU rRNA". It matches the Rfam family "Bacterial small subunit ribosomal RNA", at positions 30 to 483 of the family's 1533-position model. The record is from RNAcentral.
AUUGAACGCUGGCGGCAUGCCUUACACAUGCAAGUCGAACGGCAGCACGGACUUCGGUCUGGUGGCGAGUGGCGAACGGGUGAGUAAUGUAUCGGAACGUACCUUUCAGUGGGGGGAUAACGUAGCGAAAGUUACGCUAAUACCGCAUAUUCUGUGAGCAGGAAAGCAGGGGAUCGCAAGACCUUGCGCUGAUUGAGCGGCCGAUAUCAGAUUAGCUAGUUGGUGGGGUAAAGGCCUACCAAGGCGACGAUCUGUAGCGGGUCUGAGAGGAUGAUCCGCCACACUGGAACUGAGACACGGUCCAGACUCCUACGGGAGGCAGCAGUGGGGAAUUUUGGACAAUGGGGGCAACCCUGAUCCAGCCAUGCCGCGUGAGUGAAGAAGGCCUGGUGUAAGCUCUUCGGUCCGGGACGGAAAUCGCACAGGCUAAUACCCUCGAGUGGAUGACGGUACCGGAA